UGACGAAACACUGCCUCUCCGCACCUUG
This 28-nucleotide non-coding RNA is filed under the name Mus musculus (house mouse). The record is from RNAcentral. Lineage: Eukaryota; Metazoa; Chordata; Mammalia; Rodentia; Muridae.